AUGGCGGGCGCAGGCAGCUCCAAAGAUGUAGCCGACUCAGUGGAGAAGUGGAUGGCGUUCCCGUCCGGGUCCGGGUCCGGCGAGGAGAGCAGCUUCACCCUCCCGACGCCGCCGUCACUGUCCAGCGGGAAGGAGAUCGUCGAGGAGCCGGGCGGUUCAGGCAGCGGCAGCAAGCAGCAGGGGUGGUGGCCCAAGCCGGAGCAGCGGCGCCGCAGCAGCAGCGGCGCCGGCAUGGGCAGCGCCAAGCCGUCCAUGGAGGGGCGCGGGUCGUCCGACGCGCUGCCGCGGGUGUCGCAGGAGCUCAAGGACGCGCUGUCCAACCUGCAGCAGACGUUCGUCGUCUCCGACGCCACCCGCCCCGACAUCCCCAUCAUCUACGCCAGCGCCGGCUUCUACACCAUGACCGGGUACUCCGCCAAGGAGAUCAUAGGACGCAACUGCCGGUUUCUUCAGGGCCCGGAGACGGACCAGAACGAGGUGUCCAAGAUCAGGGACGCCGUGAAGGCCGGCAAGAGCUUCUGCGGCCGGCUGCUCAACUACCGCAAGGACGGCACGCCGUUCUGGAAUCUCCUCACCGUCACCCCCAUCCGCGACGACAACGGCAAGGUCAUCAAGUUCAUCGGGAUGCAGGUGGAGGUGAGCAAGUACACGGAAGGGCUGAGCGACAAGCGCAUGCGGCCGAACGAGAUGCCGGUGUCGCUCAUCCGCUACGACGACCGGCAGAAGGAGAAGGCCAUGUCGUCGAUGACGGAGGUCGUGCAGACAGUGAAGCACCGGCGCGCGGACUCGCCGGAGCGGGAGCCGCCCAAGGCCAGCGACGCGGACAAGAUCAGCUCGCCGCUCGUGGCUCCUGCCACCCCGUCCGGCGGCGGCUACAAGUCGCCCUACUGGGACCUGAAGAAGGAGGAGUCGCGGAUGAGCAAGAUGAUGAGCGGGCGCAAGUCCGGCCGCUCCUCCCUCAUGGGGUUCAAGGUGGGGAAGAGGAGCUCCGUGGGGAGCAGGGAGCCGGCGGUGGUGGAGGCGCCGGAGUUGAAGAUGACGGUGGAGCGCACCAACAGCUGGGAGCGCGCGGAGAGGGAGAAGGACAUCAGGCAGGGGCUGGACCUCGCCACCACGCUCGAGCGUAUCGAGAAGAACUUUGUCAUCACGGACCCCAGGCUCCCAGACAACCCAAUUAUUUUCGCGUCUGAUAGCUUCCUGGAGCUGACGGAGUACACGCGCGAAGAGAUCCUGGGGCGGAACUGCAGAUUUCUUCAGGGAUCGGAGACCGACCAGACCACCGUUGACAAGAUCAGGGAGGCCAUCAGGGAGCAGAAGGAGGUCACCGUCCAGCUAAUUAACUACACCAAGAGCGGGAAGAAGUUCUGGAACUUGUUUCACCUGCAGCCUAUGUGGGAUCAGAAGGGGGAGCUUCAGUACUUUAUCGGCGUGCAACUUGAUGGAAGUGAUCAUGUUGAACCCCUCAGGAACCGACUCUCGGAGAACACUGAGAUACAAAGUGCCAAACUGGUCAAAGCUACAGCAGGGAAUGUGGAUGAAGCAGUCAGGGAGCUUCCUGAUGCCAACUUGAGACCAGAGGACCUGUGGGCAAUGCACUCACUAUCUGUUUCUCCAAAACCUCACAAACGGAAUAACUCUUCUUGGAGAGCUAUAGAAAAGAUUAUAGAAACUGGGGAGAAGAUUAGCUUGAAACACUUCAAACCAGUUAAACCUCUGGGGUGUGGGGAUACUGGCAGUGUACACUUGGUUGAGUUGCAAGGUAGUGGUGAAUUAUUUGCGAUGAAGGCAAUGGACAAAUCAGUGAUGUUGAACCGCAACAAGGUGCACCGAGCUAUUAUUGAAAGAGAAAUAUACUCUCUGUUGGAUCAUCCUUUUCUUCCAACAUUGUAUACUUCAUUUCAGACGCCAACACAUGUUUGUCUUAUAACAGACUUUUGUCCCGGAGGAGAAUUGUUUGCGGCACUGGAUAAGCAACCCUUGAAAAUUUUCAGAGAAGAUUCUGCAAGGUUUUAUGCUGCGGAGGUUGUAAUUGGUCUCGAGUAUCUUCAUUGUCUUGGUAUUAUAUACCGUGAUUUGAAACCAGAAAACAUUUUGCUCCAAGCCGAUGGGCACGUUGUGCUGACUGAUUUUGACCUCUCAUUUUUGACUUCUUCGAAACCCCAUGUUAUAAAGCAUUCGACAUCGCUAAAACGAAGGAGAUCUCAAGAAUUUAUGCCGCCUUCAUUUGUCUCGGAUCCUUCCACUCCAUCGAAUUCGUUUGUUGGAACUGAAGAAUACAUUGCACCAGAGGUCAUCACAGGUGCAGGACAUACAAGUGCCAUUGAUUGGUGGGCUCUUGGAAUUCUAUUGUAUGAGAUGCUGUAUGGGCGUACACCUUUUCGAGGAAAGAACAGGAAGAAGACAUUUUAUAACAUCCUGCACAAAGAUCUUACGUUUCCUAGUAGCAUCCCGGUUAGCCUGGAGGCGAAGCAACUAAUCCAUGGACUGCUUCAGAGAGAUCCCUCUUCUCGCAUAGGUUCAAAUACUGGUGCAAAUGAUAUCAAGGAACAUCCAUUUUUUGAAGACAUCUAUUGGCCACUUAUACGUUGCAUGAGUCCCCCGGAGCUUGAUGUUCCGUUGAAGCUGAUUGGCAAGGAGUCUCAACCAAAAGUGAAGCCCGAGGAAGGUGUUAUUGAUACAUUUUAG
This 2685-nucleotide ribosomal RNA is filed under the name Triticum aestivum (bread wheat). Its description in RNAcentral is "partial small subunit ribosomal RNA". The record is from RNAcentral. Lineage: Eukaryota; Viridiplantae; Streptophyta; Magnoliopsida; Poales; Poaceae.